Ictalurus punctatus (channel catfish) is the source of this 6773-nucleotide long non-coding RNA. The record is from Ensembl. Lineage: Eukaryota; Metazoa; Chordata; Actinopteri; Siluriformes; Ictaluridae.
GCACCUUUAAACAUGCCAUUAAAACAAAAAGAAGCCGAAGAGGUCACAUGACGAAGCAAUCCUAGUCAUAGUGUACAGCAGUUCUGCUUGGUUUUCCACGCCUACUUUCUUUUGAGUUAAUCCAAGUUAAAGUGUUAGGCAGAGAAAGGACCGCUGUUCAGGAGAAAAAUCACCUUUUGGGGCCAAGACACAGCAACGGGUCAUUUAUAUCCAUAUCAACCGCACCAGGACGACACACGCCGACGAGAAGUUUGUAGACGUCAUGGGGAGCAUGGUGGAGUCUCCUCCAUCACUGCCCCCUUCAUCCUCUUCCUCCGAUUACUGUCCUCCUCCUCCUCCUCGUCCUGCUCCAGCAGCAAUGCCCUUCACACCUGGGAACUGUUCUGAAGACCCGCCCGCCAGCCAACAGCAGCCUGAUAAUACUGCAGGAGCACCAUCAGAUGGGGCUAUAGAGAACACGCCGAUUCAGACACGAGGACUAGAGAGCUUCACAUCUGAUUACUGAUUAUUUGUUGGGAUACUGAAUAAUUGACGAGCUCUCUCGUAGGAAGUUUCCGGAGCCCCCACGCAGGAGACAUGCACAGAUGAAGCAGAGAAGCUGAAUGAGCCAGUGCAGGAGAGCAGAGAUGGAGAAGGGGCGGGGCAUGAGGAGGCGGAGCAAGGUGAUGCGGCCUGCGCGGGAGGUAAAGGAGAGCCUGACGUUGCCGCCCAGUGACACUUUAAGGAUGAAUGAGACGCCAGGAGCAGCCUCCCUGGCAAGCGCCACCACUUUACUCCACUACACGAGUACUGUGUGUUCUGUAACCGAUGCUGCCUUGAAUGCAAAUGGACAUUAAGGGAUGACUGAUGAAGGAAUAAUGUGCGUUUCCUAUCCCUCAGUUCAACUGAAUGAAAACUAGGUAUGUGUGAUACGUGUAGGUGCGUGUAUGAAGUCUCUGAGGCUCUGAGGGAGACGCUUUAUUAUUAUUAUUAUUAUUAUUAUUAUUACCCUUUAAUAAAAAUAUCUGCUUGGAGUAAAAACCUCCAGUCUCGGUUUUGUGUCCACUCAGGCUCUAACCGAAAGUGAACCACUAACAUACAACCAAUCAGGACAAGGAUUUGGUGUUUUUGGAGUUUCGGGGCAGUUUUGCCGAAAGAUCUGAACAAAAUCACUGACACCACUUUUAAGGCUAUUACUAAAUAUAGAUACUAGGAUGAAACACACACACACACACGCACGCACACCAUUUCUUUUGGUCAGUUAACAGAAUAAUAAGAUUGGGUUAGGCUAUCGAAGGGACUUGACUAUGAUUUAAUGCUGUAUUGUAGACUAGCAUUGGUUAUGUUAGCACGCGAUCAAUGAAUAAAUGUUAAAAUAAUGAAUUUGUUUGCUUUAGUUUGGGGGCAUGUAAAGCUAAAACAAGGAAGUAAAUACUAAGCGUAAACACAAGACAUAAAGAACAUUAAGGAUCAUUAAAACAUUAAGCAUUUUCGGGGGAGAAGCACCCAGACUCCGUGAGACGCACAUUCACAGACACGUUGCAAUGGUUGCGUAAGCAAUGACAGCAAAGCAGUGCCGUUGUAAUCACACAUUAAGAAUGCUAUUUUAUAGUAACCCUGUCAGUCUCGUGUUUGUUCGAUAGCAAGUUGAAUGGCUAGAAUGGCAGUAGCCAGUUUAGACGGGUCUCAAGAUGACGUGAGCCAAAUUCGAUGAAGAUUGGACAAAAUUUCGCAGCGAAAAUGGCAUUUUUGGCAUGUUAUUGUAACUUUUGACCAGUAGGUGGUGCUGCUCGCAAUUUGUUGCAUAGCCUCAGGACGUGGUCCUGAAGACGCCUACCAGGUUUUGUGUCGGCGCUCAGAGCUCAGCUGUAAACGUUGUAAUAUUUACACCUUCAGUGAACGAUCAACAUUCAGCGACAUGCUAGCAUUUAAUUAGCGCUAAUUUACGAUUGAAUAAACAGUCAGCGCAGGAGCAUGUGAUUCACGUGUCAUCAUUCCAGUAAGGAAUAACACGGGUGGUGUUCCAAAUAUAAUCCACACUGAGGUCAUGUGAUACUUCCUGACACCAAGCGGAGGACUAUUUCCCAACAAUGACGGUUUUUAAUGUAUCAAUCCAUGACGCAUCGGAUGUUUUAGCCGUUUAUAGUGACAGAAGACUGUUACUGACACUGGAGACUCCUUCCCUAAACGUUACAUAAAUAUUCCCAUAUAGAAAACGUCGCCAAAUCAACGAUGAUACGUUUUUCAUCGUUAAGUAACAACACUUAAAAAAAAAAAAAUAAUAAAAUUUUUAAACCCAACUGUUUAUUAUUUUAUUUAUUGUCAUUCGUCCCUCUGAAUGAGCUGUCGCUAUGGAAACGAUAACACAUUAGAGUCAGUCCGUUGAUAUACCGCUGCGAUUUCUGUUCAAGCUAGAACUACUGUCGCGUCAACAUUACUUAGUUUAUUUAUGCUCAUUUAAUGUUCAUUAAUGCAGGAAAUAAACAAAUGUUAUGGAAGGAAACUUUAAAGUCCUAUAAAGGCAAAAAAAGAUAAAGUCACAAGAAGCAACACAGGGUGAAUAGAAAAUGAAAAAAGGCUUAAACGAUAAUAAAACCAUAGUAGUAGUAGUAGUAGUAGUAAUAAUAAUAAUAAUAAUAAUAAUAAUAAUAAAAACCUAUGUAAAAUAGAAUGAGGAAAAUAGGUAUAAUAAAGUGUGGUAAAAAUGUUUCUACUGUUUGAUUGGACUGUGGAGAGUGGGGUGAAUCAGACGCUCUCACGUUUCAAGCAAAAGCCCCAAAACCUCCUGCUGAGUUCUUCUUAAUGCCUGGAAUAGAAAGCUGGAGUGUAAAGAGCAGAAGGUCAUGUAGUGUUUUAGUGCUACGAAUACAGACCGCUGGAAAUGAAACGCAGGAACUUCUCGUGUUCAUGAGAUUCAGAGCUAAACAAGCUAAAACAAAACAACAACAACGCAUAGAGGCAACAUUAAUAUUCAUGUCCUUAAUGACAUCCAUCCAUCUUCUAUACCGCUCUAUCCUUUUCAGGGUCAUGGGGAAACCUGGAGCCUAUCCCAGGGAGGAUCACAAGGCGGGGUACACCCUGGACAGGGUACCAAUCCAUCACAGGGCACAAUCACAUACCCAUUCAUACACUACGGACACUUUAGACACGCCAAUCAGCCUACCGUGCAUGUCUUUGGACUGGGGGAGGAAACCGGAGUACCCGGAGGAAACCCCCGCAGCACGGGGAGAACAUGCAAACUCCGCACACACAGGGCCUCGGUGGGAAUCGAACCCCCGACCCUGGAGGCGUGAGGCGAACGUGCUAACCGCUAUGCACCCUUUCCUUAAUGACAAUUUAUCGGAAAUAAAAUGGCGAAGAAAUAAUAAUUCCAAUAUUAUGAAACGAUUACUUAUUGUUUGGUCAGAAAUCUUCAAGGUUGAAUGAUUGAUUUGUUUGUUUGUUUAUUUAUCUGUUCAUUUAGCAUUAUAAUGCUGUCUAGUACAGUGGCGAUAUUAAAACAGUGUCGAUUUUUUUGGUCAUUUGAAAUAAACAAUAAAAAAAGAAAUAACAGAAACGAACUAAACUAGAAACACUUGUGCUACACCACAUUAACACCCCCCCCCCCCCAUUUUUUUUUUCUUUAACGGAGUGAUUGAUGGAUAGAGACACGGCUCGGGUUUAAAUUCUCAGAACUAAUGGCACUUCAGGUUAAAGCCCUACAGCGACCCAGCACGUCCUCUUCAGUAACGUCAGGUCCUAACAGGCACACUAAAUUACAGAGCACGUAUAUAUGUGGGCUUGGAGCGUUUUCAGUGUAAGCGAUCCACUGAACUGCGUGCUAUGAGUAAUCGGCCUUCAGAAUUCAUUACGUUGAUAAAGUGUCUCGGACGCGGGUUGGAUUUAAACUUCAGUUUCCACGACGAGGCUUUUUUUUUUUCUUUCUCCCCGUGGCUGUUGGUUAAAGGCCACGAAACACCAAGACAGCACAUCUGUAAUUUGUGUGUGUAAAAUCGGUGGAGCUGACCCUGGGGCUCUGUUUCAGCUUCUCUGAGCCGACUCGUGUUUGAUUUGAACAAAAAAAAGCUCUAACGCUGGUGUGAGACGUGAGGACGGUAGCGAUAGUUCAAGCCCAAAAGCAGAAUUAACACAAUACUCCGGUCACAACGAUGACAAACACAAAAACCCCAGCCAGUUAUACAAGACGCUCAGUGUGUGACGUCUUGCACUGGAGCUGUAAGUGACGAUUAUAGCCACCGGUUUAGCAUCAUGCUAACUGCGUGUCUCAGCGUUGCUAAACAGUCUCCUGUGCACUUAAUUCUGUGCUGAUGACUGCGACUUCCUGUUACAGUCCUAAGCACAGAACUUCCUGUACUUCCUCUUCCAGGCCACAUCACACCAGUCCGUCACUGAUUAUUUUACUGUAACAGGUCCUCGGAGCAGCUGCUGAUCUCGGCUGAAGGUUAAGGGGGACUGUGACUGUGCAGUGACUGUGCGGAGGGUGGUUUUUUUGUGUGUCUAAAUUAGCAUUUUAUUUACAUUUUUUUUUUUUACUUGAAGAAAAGUAGUUCCUUCUUUCCUCUAUUUAUAUUUCUUUCUUUUAUUGUCUAUACCCAUUUUUAUUCUCUUUACUUGCUCCUUUUUUUUGUGAUGGUAACUAUGUGCAGCAACUUUCAUUGUUUAAAUGUGUUUGUAAAUAAAUCACUUACUUAUUCCUUCCCUUAUUUCUUUCCUUCCCUCUUUAUUUCUUUCCUUCCUUGUUCCUUCCUCCUUCCUUCUUCGUUCUAUCCUUCCUUCCUUCCCACUUCUUUCCUUCCUUGUUCCUUCCUCCUUCCUUCUUCGUUCUAUCCUUCCUUCCUUCCUUCCCCCUUCUUUCCUUCUUCCUUACUCCUUCCUUCCUUCUUCGUUCUAUCCUUCCUUCCUCCUUCUUUACUUCCUUCUUACUUAAUUCAUUCCUUCCCCCUCCUUCCUUAAUUCUGACCUACUCCUUCCUUCCAAAUUCCUUCCUUACUUACUUCUUACUUAUUUCCUACUUCCUUCCACGUUCCUUACUUCUUCUUCCUUACUUAAUUCUUUCUUCUUACUCCUUCCUUAUUUACUUAAUUCCUUCCUUAGUUCUUACUCUCUCCUAAUUCCAUCAUUACUUACUUUUUACUCCUUUCCUUACUUUCCUUCAUUCUUUUCUUCCUUGCCCCAUCAUUACUUCUUUCCUUCCUUCUUCUUCCUUCCUCCGUUCUCCCGUCCCUCCUCAUUACUUCCUUCCUUCAUUCCCCCUUCCUUGUUCAUUCCUUCCGUAAGUCUUACUUACUCUGUCCUAGUUCCUUCCCUCUUUCUUUUCUUACUUCUCCCUUCCUUCGUCCUUCCUUUGUUUUCCUUCUUUCCUUCCUUCCUCCUUACUUUUUCCAUCUGUCCUUUUUUCCUUCCUUCCUUACUUCUUCCUUCCUUCCUUCCUUCCUUCCUUCCCUUUGGAAACACAAUUUCCUUUUUUAGAAUUAAAAACACACACACGUUUAUGCAGUCAAGAACAUCAUUUAUUCAACCAGUUGCUCUUUACAAACUGUUUUUUUUUAUUUUUAUUCUUUAUAAUGGAAAAAGAAUCUGUAGUUAACACAUGCACAUUUUGCCAGCGGGCUCUGAGGGGUCUCUAGCUGAAACAGGAGCUUUUCCUGAAAGCGCAGGACACAGGGAUCCACUAGGGGGCGCUAAGACUAGAAACGUCUCAAACACAACUUCUGCAGCUCAGAAAAAUUCGGAAGCAUAACGAAGCAAAACCAAAAAAACCAAAAAAAAGUAAUUAAAAACACAAGGCAGUAAAGAAGUGAUUAGUUUCGACUGAUGUUAUGCCAGAGUGGGGAUAUUUAGGUAGACACUCCAUGUCCUACGAUUUAACCUAUUUAUUUACUUAUUUAUUUAUUUUAAAAAACGUCCACUCUGUAAGCAAUCUCUCAUCGUCUGUAAUAUUAAUACUGACUUCGGUUAGAUUAAACACACCUCCUGAACUCACGUCAAUCUCCCAUUACGAUGGACUGAAAAAAGGACAUUCUCCAUAGUGUUACUCGUGUGAUAUUUAAGUGCAUUUCACGCUAAGUGCAUUCUGCCUCAUAAGGUGCUUUCAACAAUUCAUCAGCCAACAAUUUCUUAAAAGUAGCCUGGCUCUUCUAAUAAAGAAAGGUGCUUUUUUUUUUAUAGUUUUAUUUUAAGGUCCACGGUUCCCUUGGAGAGAAUCUUCUGGACCGUACCCUGAUAGAAAAGCAUUAAAAAAAAAAUUCGAAUAUAGUAUAAAAUCGUAGUAACAAACGAAAACAAAUAAAUUAGAAAAAAAAAUUUAAAAUUCCGCCGAGCUGCUUGAUAUCACCCGGUGUCCUGCGUUUACAGCAAAACCGUUCGACACGCGGAAGCCGAUCGGAAACGUUAGCAUUGCUCCUCCACCGACUACGACGGCGCGUGCUGGUACUCGCUGCCGCGCGGAACCUGUCGCGUGACCCCACGGAGCCCGGACGGCCACAUUUCACUUACACUAGCAGUAGAAACAGAGAAGCGGCAGAACAGGAGAGAGAUCGGUAUGGCGUAACAAGAACAAGCUUACAGACAAGGAUAUUCUGCUCAAGAGGAAAAAUAAAAUAUAAAAGCAUCGUUUUGGGGCGGGGGGAAGGGAGGCAGGAUGUACGACAGGGUAAGACGGACGUCUUGUACAACAUCUCCAGUAACGCAAAAGAAGGAGAAAGGGAAAGGGACAUUUUGCCUUUACAUUUUUUUUCAGCAUUGAACAAUAAAAAGAACUAAAUCACAUCCAUUUCCUGUAUUACUAUAUUUUU